UGCCAGCAGCCGCGGUAAUACGGAGGGGGUUAGCGUUGUUCGGAAUUACUGGGCGUAAAGCGCACGUAGGCGGACUGGAAAGUUGGGGGUGAAAUCCCGGGGCUCAACCUCGGAACUGCCUCCAAAACUACUAGUCUAGAGUUCGAGAGAGGUGAGUGGAAUUCCGAGUGUAGAGGUGAAAUUCGUAGAUAUUCGGAGGAACACCAGUGGCGAAGGCGGCUCACUGGCUCGAUACUGACGCUGAGGUGCGAAAGUGUGGGGAGCAAACAGGAUUAGAUA
This 279-nucleotide ribosomal RNA is filed under the name uncultured bacterium. RNAcentral's name for it is "partial 16S ribosomal RNA". It matches the Rfam family "Bacterial small subunit ribosomal RNA", at positions 506 to 784 of the family's 1533-position model. The record is from RNAcentral.